This 435-nucleotide ribosomal RNA is filed under the name uncultured bacterium. Its description in RNAcentral is "partial 16S ribosomal RNA". It matches the Rfam family "Bacterial small subunit ribosomal RNA", at positions 29 to 507 of the family's 1533-position model. The record is from RNAcentral.
AGCGAACGCUGGCGGCAGGCUUAACACAUGCAAGUCGAGCGGGCACUUUCGGGUGUCAGCGGCGGACGGGUGAGUAACGCGUGGGAACGUGCCCUCUGGUUCGGAAUAACUCAGGGAAACUUGAGCUAAUACCGGAUACGCCCUUUUGGGGAAAGGCUUGCUGCCGGAGGAUCGGCCCGCGUCUGAUUAGCUAGUUGGUGAGGUAACGGCUCACCAAGGCGACGAUCAGUAGCUGGUCUGAGAGGAUGAUCAGCCACACUGGGACUGAGACACGGCCCAGACUCCUACGGGAGGCAGCAGUGGGGAAUAUUGGACAAUGGGCGCAAGCCUGAUCCAGCCAUGCCGCGUGAGUGAUGAAGGCCUUAGGGUUGUAAAGCUCUUUUAUCCGGGACGAUAAUAACGGUACCGGAGGAAUAAGCCCUGGCUAACUUCGUG